Molecule: long non-coding RNA, 1214 nt
Filed under: Anas platyrhynchos platyrhynchos (common mallard)
Lineage: Eukaryota; Metazoa; Chordata; Aves; Anseriformes; Anatidae
Description: lncRNA (ENSAPLG00000031201.1)
Source: RNAcentral
CUUCAGGAGAGGGUACCUUCAGCUGGCAAAGACAGAAUGCUAGCCAGUCAGAAAGGUGACUUUUUUUGGACAAAUGAGGAAACUUAAUGAAUUCCCUACUCCACAGACGGCUGUGGUAUACGUUAGAGCACCUGCUGCAACUCACUUCAUAUCACAUUGCGGUUAUGAAAAAUAGUUUGCUAUUUUGGAACCCCCUGGCAGCCAGAGUGAAUCACUGAGGGCCCAAAGCUCAUUUAUCUUUUGUCAGAACUGAAGCCAAAUGAACGCCAUCUUGCCCAGCAGCUGAAGAAAGGGGGAAAAAACAUUCUGCAAGUAAAAAUAACCAGAGGAGCAUGCAAGAGCUGCGAAGACGAGUGACUUAUGGCAGUGUUUCAGACUAAAACUCCUCAUCCGUUCUGAUACCAAGCUAAAGACAACAGUGAGAUAUUCUGAUGGCUGCACGUCCUGGCUGUCCCUCCCCGUGGACAACGACCCAGCGCAGUUACAGCGUGGCUGGGGCCUUGCUCUGGCAGGGAAGCAGCUGAGGAGCCCAGCACAGCACAGAGCCUAUCAGUCCUCUCUGCAUGGACAUGCCAGGAAGAAGUGAUGGAGUGCUUUAUGAGCAGUGAACACCAAGAAUGAUCAGAAGCAUUGGAAAAUCCUCUCCACAUACUGAGUUGAAAGAGUAGAGAUUUUUAAUUUGCAGACAACCGAAAUGCAAAGAGAUGUGACUAUUUUGACAAGAGUAAACGGAAGUAUGAUAUGAAGACUUAUUGUUAGAAAAAGACUUAUUCAAAAUGGUUAAAUGAGAAUAUUUUUCAGUUUACAAUUAGCCUGUACAGUUUAUUUCUAGAGGGUGACAAACAGCCAGGAAUUUAGCAAAAUGCAAGCAGGCAGAGAUACAAUACUGGCACACACACACACACACAAAAUCUGAACUAAGAUAUUCUCAGACCUGGCCUAAACCAGCAUGCUUCAGGGACAGCCUCUGGCAAUGGGCAAGUAGGUAGCAGCUUCACUAAUGGAGAGCUACACACAUUCCUAAAGCAGCCUGCGUGUUACUGCUACAGACAGAUUUUGUACUCUUCCAGUGUCAGCGGUUUCAUGGACUACAAGCUCUGUUUCUGCCUUCACCAUGGGUUUCUCUCAUCACUUGCCUGCCUCUCAAGUUUCCUGUUAGCAAAUCAAAAAUAAUACUUUUAAGAAGUAAGCUGUAAGAAUAGUGACUGCCACUU